This 120-nucleotide microRNA precursor is filed under the name Vigna radiata var. radiata (mung bean). Its description in RNAcentral is "pre miRNA MIR158". Lineage: Eukaryota; Viridiplantae; Streptophyta; Magnoliopsida; Fabales; Fabaceae. The record is from RNAcentral.
ACACAUCACCACGAGACUUUCCAGUGUGCUUUGUCCUCACUCGCACACUUUUCGGGAAAACUUCCCGGAAAGUGUGCGAGUGANGACAAAGCACACUGGAAAGUCUCGUGGUGAUGUGUG